UACGAAGGGGGCUAGCGUUGCUCGGAAUCACUGGGCGUAAAGGGUGCGUAGGCGGGUCUUUAAGUCAGAGGUGAAAUCCUGGAGCUCAACUCCAGAACUGCCUUUGAUACUGAAGAUCUUGAGUUCGGGAGAGGUGAGUGGAACUGCGAGUGUAGAGGUGAAAUUCGUAGAUAUUCGCAAGGACACCAGUGGCGAAGGCGGCUCACUGGCCCGAUACUGACGCUGAGGCACGAAAGCGUGGGGAGCAAACAGG
RNAcentral lists this ribosomal RNA (253 nucleotides) under uncultured bacterium. RNAcentral describes it as "partial 16S ribosomal RNA". It matches the Rfam family "Bacterial small subunit ribosomal RNA", at positions 524 to 776 of the family's 1533-position model. The record is from RNAcentral.